RNAcentral lists this ribosomal RNA (500 nucleotides) under uncultured bacterium. Its description in RNAcentral is "partial 16S ribosomal RNA". It matches the Rfam family "Bacterial small subunit ribosomal RNA", at positions 30 to 523 of the family's 1533-position model. The record is from RNAcentral.
AUUGAACGCUGGCGGCAUGCCUUACACAUGCAAGUCGAACGGCAGCACGGGAGCAAUCCUGGUGGCGAGUGGCGAACGGGUGAGUAAUGUAUCGGAACGUGCCCAGUCGUGGGGGAUAACGUAGCGAAAGCUACGCUAAUACCGCAUACGAUCUAUGGAUGAAAGCGGGGGACCGUAAGGCCUCGCGCGAUUGGAGCGGCCGAUAUCAGAUUAGGUAGUUGGUGGGGUAAAGGCCUACCAAGCCGACGAUCUGUAGCUGGUCUGAGAGGACGACCAGCCACACUGGGACUGAGACACGGCCCAGACUCCUACGGGAGGCAGCAGUGGGGAAUUUUGGACAAUGGGCGCAAGCCUGAUCCAGCAAUGCCGCGUGCAGGAUGAAGGCCUUCGGGUUGUAAACUGCUUUUGUACGGAGCGAAAAGGCUCUCUCUAAUACAGGGGGCUCAUGACGGUACCGUAAGAAUAAGCACCGGCUAACUACGUGCCAGCCGCCGCCGUAA